This 451-nucleotide ribosomal RNA is filed under the name uncultured bacterium. RNAcentral describes it as "bacterial SSU rRNA". It matches the Rfam family "Bacterial small subunit ribosomal RNA", at positions 354 to 796 of the family's 1533-position model. The record is from RNAcentral.
GUGGGGAAUAUUGGACAAUGGGGGGAACCCUGAUCCAGCCAUGCCGCGUGUGUGAAGAAGGCCUUUUGGUUGUAAAGCACUUUAAGCGAGGAGGAGGCUACCGAGAUUAAUACUCUUGGAUAGUGGACGUUACUCGCAGAAUAAGCACCGGCUAACUCUGUGCCAGCAGCCGCGGUAAUACAGAGGGUGCGAGCGUUAAUCGGAUUUACUGGGCGUAAAGCGUGCGUAGGCGGCUUUUUAAGUCGGAUGUGAAAUCCCCGAGCUUAACUUGGGAAUUGCAUUCGAUACGGGGAAGCUAGAGUAUGGGAGAGGAUGGUAGAAUUCCAGGUGUAGCGGUGAAAUGCGUAGAGAUCUGGAGGAAUACCGAUGGCGAAGGCAGCCAUCUGGCCUAAUACUGACACUGAGGUGCGAAAGCAUGGGGAGCAAACAGGAUUAGAAACCCGGGUAGUCC